Mus musculus (house mouse) is the source of this 338-nucleotide long non-coding RNA. RefSeq annotates it as predicted gene, 39898. The transcript is spliced from 2 exons. Lineage: Eukaryota; Metazoa; Chordata; Mammalia; Rodentia; Muridae. The record is from RefSeq and is a predicted model, not a curated record.
UUUUAAACUCAUCCUGAAUGAAUGAAUGAUCUUAAGAAGGGUGCCCCACCACUGCAAGCUUUGCAUGUCUGUUUCAAGGUGCCCCACCACUGCAAGCUUUGCAUGUCUGUUUCAAGGUGCCCCACCACUGCAAGCUUUGCAUGUCUGUUUCAACUCAAGCCUAACCAAGCCGGUUCAAGCCUGUUCCCGGAUCAAAAGUUUAGAAUGAGCGUUGCUUUUCUUGUUUUUAAAUAAGAAAUCCAGUUGUGUGUGUGGUGGUGAUGAUGUAGCUCUCAGAGAAAACUCUCACCUAACAUAUGCCCUGGGUUGAAUCCCCAGCACUUCAAAAUAAUUAAAAA